GGGGUGCAGCAGUUACGAAAACUUUACAAUGCACGAAAGUGUGAUAGGGGGAUCCUAAGUGAUAUAGCUUAUGGUUAUAUCUGUGGAGGAGUGUAAAUUACUCUUCAAGAAAGGGGUGGGCAAUACCGGUGCCAGCAGCCGCGGUAAUCCCGGAGCCCCGAGUGGUGACCAUGUUUAUUGGGCCUAAAGCGCCCGUAGCCGGAUUAUUAAGUUCUCGGUGAAAUUGUUUGACUUAAUCAAACGAAUGGCCUUGAAUACUGGUAAUCUAGGGAUUGGGAGAGGUCAAGAGUAUGCCUGGGGGAGGGGUAAAAUCCUUUAAUCCUAGGUAGACUACCAAUGGCAUAGGCACUUGACUAGAACAAGUCCGACGGUGAGGGACGAAAGUUAGGGUAGCAAACGGGAUUAGAUACCCCGGUAGUCCUAACUGUAAACGCUGCCCGUUGGGUGUCGCGAAUUCUUCGAGUUUUCGCGGUGCCGUAGUGAAGACGAUAAGCGGGCCGCCUGGGGAGUACGGUCGCAAGGCUGAAACU
Molecule: ribosomal RNA, 530 nt
Filed under: uncultured archaeon
Lineage: Archaea
Description: bacterial SSU rRNA
Rfam family: Archaeal small subunit ribosomal RNA
Source: RNAcentral